AUCGCUUCUCGACCUUUUGGGUAAGAUCAAGUGUAGUAUCUGUUCUUAUCAGUAGUCUAGUCCGAGCCAUUGAUGUAGGAUGGAUGCUGCAUGGAGGAGACAGGUGUACCAGGGCGUUCGGGGCUGGUUCUGAGGAAUCAGCUCAAUGCAAAAAACCCAGGUACUCCUGCAUGGGCAGGGUACCGACCGUUA
Hyla sarda is the source of this 192-nucleotide small nuclear RNA. RefSeq annotates it as U2 spliceosomal RNA. The transcript has a single exon. Lineage: Eukaryota; Metazoa; Chordata; Amphibia; Anura; Hylidae. The record is from RefSeq and is a predicted model, not a curated record.